ACCUUAGAUGUUCUGGGCCGCACGCGUGCUACACUGAGUAAAUCAAUGGGUAAGGGAACACGAAAGUGCAACCUAAUCUUGAAAUUUGCUCGUGAUGGGGAUCGACGGUUGCAAUUUUCCGUCGUGAACGAGGAAUACCUUGUAGGCGCGUGUCAUCAUCACGCGCCGAAUACGUCCCUGCCCUUUGUACACACCGCCCGUCGCUCCUACCGAUUGAGUGAUCCGGUGAGGCUCUGGGACCUGGACGGAAAGAGCGUUUCGCUUGUUCUGUUUGGGAAACUUGGUCGAACCUUAUCAUUUAGAGGAAGGAGAAGUCGUAACA
This 322-nucleotide ribosomal RNA is filed under the name uncultured eukaryote. RNAcentral's name for it is "partial 18S ribosomal RNA". It matches the Rfam family "Eukaryotic small subunit ribosomal RNA", at positions 1470 to 1796 of the family's 1831-position model. The record is from RNAcentral.